AUUGAACGCUGGCGGCGUGCUUAACACAUGCAAGUCGAUCGGUAACAGGUGUAGCAAUACAUGCUGACGAGAGGCGGACGGGUGAGUAAUGCUUGGGAAUCUGCCUAUUAGUGGGGGACAACCCGGGGAACUCGGGCUAAUACCGCAUACGCUCUACGGAGGAAAGCCGGGGACCGCAAGGGCCUGGCGCUAAUAGAUGAGCCCAAGUCGGAUUAGCUAGUUGGUAGGGUAACGGCCUACCAAGGCGACAAUCCGUAGCUGGUCUGAGAGGACGACCAGCCACACCGGAACUGAGACACGGUCC
RNAcentral lists this ribosomal RNA (304 nucleotides) under uncultured bacterium. RNAcentral describes it as "bacterial SSU rRNA". It matches the Rfam family "Bacterial small subunit ribosomal RNA", at positions 30 to 332 of the family's 1533-position model. The record is from RNAcentral.